Molecule: long non-coding RNA, 2161 nt
Organism: Scleropages formosus (Asian bonytongue)
Lineage: Eukaryota; Metazoa; Chordata; Actinopteri; Osteoglossiformes; Osteoglossidae
Exons: 4
Source: RefSeq, a predicted model, not a curated record
GGAGUGUGAGGUAAUAUACUAGUACUGCAACUUUUCCCUCACAGCUGUGUGAGCAUGUUUAAAUUUAUGACUGAUUCAUUUAAAAUUUUGAAUAUUUAAUUUUAUGUUGUUAUUUUAUACUGCAUUAUCAUUCUACUUCAUUUGGUAGAAUCUUUAUAAUUUGUUAUUUUGAAUCAUGGAGUAUAUCUUCUUAGUUAAUUAUUGAAAUCUAGGCAGUUUGGUGUAGCGUCCGGGCGGGAGUCCGACACGGACGAAAUGUAAAAUGACCCCACGUGCAGUGUAUUUAUAAAUACACAGUGCAAACGGUAAAGUACUGUAUAGAAGUGAAACGAUAAACACGGGACUAGGAGACAGUGUAUUUUCACAAAGGUGAAAAGUGAAACUCGAAUCUGUGAGUAGGAUUCGAUCACGGAGCUCUGACGAAAUACCGGACUGGAACACGGGACUGGGACUGGAGAACAAUUGGCAGGAGUAGGCAGGAGUAGACAGGAUGGGCACUCGGACCGGAACACAAACAAACGGAACACAACUUGGGAAACAGGGGCAGUAGUGAGCAUCCUGUUUAGAGGCACUGCCGUCGAGCUCAAAGGACCCAGGUUUAAAACUUACCUCCUGCUGCAGUACUCUAGAGCAUGGAAGCAAAUUUGAUCCUUGUGGUGUCUGAUCUCUCGAGGUGGUCAUGUGAAGAAACAAAGGUGAGAUCUGUCCGUAGCUGUUUAAAGCUCGUCUCAUGCUAAACCUUUACUGGUAAUUCAAUAUUGUUUUAAGUCUCUCUUCUUCUGCCCCCUGUUUCACAUUCACCAACACACACAUAAACGCACACAAAAAACUCAUUUAGAUGUAUUGAACACAGAAAAAAAGUUAAAAGUUAAAAAACCUCCAGUUGUGGGUUUAUCAAUGUAGACAUUGGUAUAAACACCCAUGCGAUACAGCGACAGCACAAAGGUCACUGGCAGUGAAAUGUUGAAUUACCAAUAAAAAUUUCUAAAAGCACACAAUGUUUUUAAAUGAUGAAAGAAUUUCUUAUUGAUUUUCUGAAAUCACUUGCUUCCCGCAAGAGUUUAUUACUUUAUGACUUUACUACAGCUUUCCUACAGCUGCUGUUACUCAGCAUUGCUCUGAAGAACUUCCCUGUUGAAGUUCACACAGUCCCGCUGUCACUUGCGGAGAUCAGUUAUGUGCAGCGUCGCUUACAGUCCUCAUUGACAGCGCAGUGUAACAUUCACUCUUCUCAAGUGUUUUGCUCGUUUGUUCUUCGCCUACCAGGGCAGUCCGCAGCUGGUCCACGAUGGACUUCAUAGGGCUGCUCCAUGUGCCAUAAGAUCAGAAGAGCAGCGUGCGACUCUCCCUGAUGCACGGGACGUAACAAUGAAUGAAGCCACAGGAUAGGGUGAGGGACAGGAGCUCUGGUAUUAACAGGCCAUGGGAGGUGCUGCAUUUCACUGCUCCAGGUUCACCUCUGACACCCUGAAGAGUGUAAGCACCCUGUAAGGACACCCCAAAUGACUCAGUGCCCCCUGUUGCUCAAAUGUUAAAGUACACAAAUGUCUGAGGGAAAACACACAUAGCACUCAACUUGAAGGUUUCAUAUCACACGCUAUAAUGUAAAACAGUGGAUACGUUUGCUGUAUAUGAAAGCUCUCAAAACUGAACCUGUACGUUGUGUUUUGAACUAAUGUACACACUGUAACAUCAGCUCAAGUCAAAACCUUCCAGAGAUGUCCACAAACACAGGCCAGCUGACAGAGACGCUAUCACAUGGAGAAUUUCACAUGGUGUUUGCUUACUUCACAGCUGACAGGACUGUGAAACAUCCAUAAAGCAGUAAAGUCCAGGUCAGUUUUCAUUUGGCUUAGAACAAAACAGCAACUGAGUCACGAGACAGACACAGCUGAGUGUUUUCCCACAUGUUUCCUUUGCUGGGCCCCCAAGGUCAGUGUAAUCUGUGGAAUUUACCCUUUACGAGGCAAACAUGACUUCAAAAGAUGGAUCUUUGUGAUAUAAUCAGCUUCGUCACCUUGUUUUAUAGCCCCAUAACUCCCCUGACCACAGCUCCCUGGAUUCUGAAACCAUGUCUCAGACGAAUGAGGAAGGAUACGGAUGAAGAUGCUCUUCUACGUAACUGUGACCCCUCACAUCCAGGCCACUUCCUCUUCGAACC